GNUUUAACACAUGCAAGUCCGCACCGGUGAAACGUUGGAGCUCGCUCCGAGGGGAUGCAGUGGCGAACGGGUGAGUAACACGUGAGUAACCUGCCCCGGACUUUGGAAUAAGCGCUGGAAACGGCGUCUAAUACCGGAUACGAGACGCAACCGCAUGGUUAGUGUCUGGAAAGUUUUUCGGUCUGGGAUGGACUCGCGGCCUAUCAGCUUGUUGGUGAGGUAAUGGCUCGCCAAGGCGACGACGGGUAGCCGGCCUGAGAGGGCGACCGGCCACACUGGGACUGAGACACGGCCCAGACUCCUACGGGAGGCAGCAGUGGGGAAUAUUGCACAAUGGGCGAAAGCCUGAUGCAGCGACGCCGCGCGAGGG
Molecule: ribosomal RNA, 370 nt
Filed under: Janibacter sp. A9
Lineage: Bacteria; Bacillati; Actinomycetota; Actinomycetes; Micrococcales; Intrasporangiaceae
Description: bacterial SSU rRNA
Rfam family: Bacterial small subunit ribosomal RNA
Source: RNAcentral